RNAcentral lists this long non-coding RNA (3569 nucleotides) under Bemisia tabaci. Its description in RNAcentral is "lncRNA ENSASIAIIG002076". The record is from RNAcentral. Lineage: Eukaryota; Metazoa; Arthropoda; Insecta; Hemiptera; Aleyrodidae.
GAAGUAACAGGUUUUUGCGAUGCAGUCUCUUGCCUCGGGGAAAAAAAAAUGGGUCCUGACGCAAGCUUUCGUUCAUAUUCUAACAGACUUUCUGAAUUGAGCCUACUUCUCGUGUAGUCUCGUUCAUCAUUUGCCUAUAGUGUUUUGACCUUACACGAGUUACAUUCAUACCCCAGUCUUAGAGGCUACGCAAAAUUCAGAUAAUGCUGUUUUUGAACGGUGCUUUCGUUUUGAUUCUGGCAAAUUUGGAAACCCGACAUUUUGGAGUCGCAGCCGUACCGAGACCCGCCUUCAUGCUGUCAAAAGACGCGUGCGCCCAACGAUGCCUCACCAGUCACGGCUAUUUCGGCCUCGCUGAGAUGAAGCCCCUGCCUGUUUCCCUCGGGAGGGUCCGCUUUAAAACGUGCCUCUGCAACGUCACCAGAGAGUUCAAGCAGUUCGUCGCCCAGGCCGUUGGUCCUUGGACCGCCCGGAUGUACCCAUAUUUCCAGAGGAUCGGCCUCGGGAGAUGGGCCCGUAACCGAAUGCUCCGGAAGAACCCCGAGAUCAAUUUCUAUACGUGGGACGAUUUGCAUGAAGGGAAAGAACGAGAACAAGAAGACGAAGAAGAAGAAGAAGAACAAGGAGAAGAAAGUGGGGAAACUCAUGCGGAGACAGAACGAAAGCAGCACAACACUCGGAGUCAUAGGAGUCCGCCACGGGCACCGCCAACAUCUCCCGCGGCUGGCGCGGGCGCCAAUAGGCAGCAAGGCGUGGACAUUAAAGCGCUGCAAAGCACGGGUGCAGAACCUCUCUCAUUCGAGGCGCACCUAGCGCGAGAGCGGACAAGUUACGAUCAGCGACGUGCUGCUAAUGGUUUACCACCACCUUCGAAAUCAACGUCCAGUAGAGGGAGUGCCACGAGCUUGAGCUUAGCUGCUGGAUCUGAGAUCUCUGCGGGAUCUGGUUCAAGGGCCUCGCAAUCGCGAUACGCAAAAUCGCAACACUCAAAAUCGAGGGGCCGAAGGGAAUGAAAAGAAGGGAAGCGGCGCCCUGUUAGGGAUCUCUCGAUAACGUCACGUACAAAGGUUUACACGAAGAAUUGAGCGCCUAGUGUCAUUUUAUUUCGGAGACCUCGCUCUUCAAAGAAGGCAACAGCCCUUUCCAGAUGCUCAAACUGGAGCGCGUCAGUUUGCGGGUGUUGACUAUUGAAAAUGAUGAAGAAUGAAUUAAAAUUGACCCGGAUGUAAUUUUGCCUUCCGCGUGUUUAUUUCGGCUCACGCCUCGCCAUCGCGCUUUCGAUUUUGCGGAUGCAACACGAAUAUCCAUCCAGCACGCAGGCCCGCCACAAGGGGGGGGAUACUGGGUCCUUGGUACCGGGGCCCGGGCCCUGGAGGGGCCCGUGACGCAGGUGACAAACCACUACGAAUUCAUGUGUAACCCUUGUCUCGUAAGAAAAAGUGAAAAAAAUACCCUAAAAAUUCCGCAAAAGGUGAAUAAAGUUUCAAAAACACGCUAGAGCACUUUAUAAUUUUUCUUACUUUUUCAGAGAUUUCUAUCUAUUUUCAAGAUUUUGAGUAUAUGUAGAAUGAUAUUUUUAGUAACUGCGUUUCAUUUUCUUCCGUUGUCGGAUGCUAAGAGGCUCCUGUCUGGGCAUCCUCGACUUCAAUGGCUCAACCCCCCUGCCAUAGACGUACAAAAGGGGAGAUCAGGAGGGCCCGGCUCCCCCUAGAAUUGAAAAGUAUCAUCUGCCCCCCUCAAAAAAAUGUAUAAAUGUUUUGAAUGCAACAAUUCGAAAGUAUUUGGUGCUGAAAGUAAAAAAAGACGUAAUUGUUCUGCACAAAUUGAUGGAAAAUCUCCAUCAUAAGGAGCUUCAAAAUGCGUCCAAAUAGAUUUAAAAUUUCAAAAAUUUCCCGGGGGAGGCCCCCCGGACCCCCCUCUGUGCUGGGGGCCCGGGCCAGAAAAUUGGUACUAGGGCCCGAGAUGGGAUGUGGCGGGCCUGCCAGCACGAAUAGUUGUAUUUCUGCGCCGUCAUCAACGCGUGCCCUAUCCCUUGCUCUGCCUUACUUUUCGGCGAGAGAUGCUUCGUAGUUGUUGAUCAAAUCAUCACCUCGCAGACCUUUGAGGUUCAACAGUCAACACCUGAAUCGAUACUUCAAGACUGACGCUGCAGUUUGAGCUUCUAGAAAGGACUAUAAUGUAAUCGAUUGAGGCAAAAUUUAAGUGCGGAGGUCAUCGCUGUUUUUAGCCCUGUUGUGAUUGAUGAGCAAAUUUUGGAGGAAACAAUCUGCCUAAUUAUGAAAAAUGAUUGUCGGGAAGAGCACUUUGAGCACUUUGCUAAGCGAGUUUUUGCAAAGUAGUUUCGACUUUCAAAAUCAAUUCCUCAACUCUUUGGUAACCAGUCAUCAUUCGGUGAAUUUGACCCGAACGUAACUUCGGUUUCCGCGUACUUAAUUUCCUUCACGCUUCGCGCCAUCGCGCCUUCAAUUUUGCAGAUGCAACACGGACAUCCAUCGAGCACGAAUAGUUGUAUCUCUGCGCCGUCACCAACGCGCACCCUGUCCCGAGUGUCUCGUGCUCUAUUCUAUAGUGUGCUUGUUUCCGUUUGUAUUUUUUACAGUGAUGCUUUGUAGUGAAGGCUAUUUGAGUAACAGCCGAAGAUGGGAGAGACUUAUUCGGGCCUCUGUUUUAACUUUUCACCCCGUAAAAAUAUAAGAAAAAGUAUUUUUCACCUUCAAAAACAUAGAGAUAACAUAGAAAAUACUUUAGAACCCAUCAAAAUCAAAGUAUUUAAUUAAGGGUCCAUUUGACCCGAUUUGGGAAUUAGCGCAUAAAAAAGUAUCGGGCAUUUAGGGUUGAAUGGAACUCAGGGUUCAGGAGUAUAACGUUGGAUCAACAAUGGUAUUCUUCUUCGAAUUUUACCCUUAGAUAAUGAGAUUCCUGAAGACGCAAGAUUGCCAUGUUAUACUAGGGCUUAAUGGAGUGUUCGGCGAACAUUUUACAAGUCCAAAUAAUAUUUACGAGACAAACUCUAUGCUAUCUAUCUCAGCCGUUAUAAGCUCAAGGCUUAUCAUUGUUGAACCAAAAUUUGAGGAUGAGAAAAGAACUUAUGUGAUGGCGGGCUGGUUAGGAUAAGAAGCGAGAGAUCAUUGCCAGUGAGUGUAAUUCAUACUCUUCAUUCUAUACCUAUUCUUCAUUCGAUUAUUUCUAAAUAGUGCUCUGACAUCACAUUAUUACUAUGAAUUGCCGAUAGAAAUUAAGAAAACCGGUAGAAAAAAAUCAGCAGCUCUCUCAGUUUGAAUAAUCCGGCAUGCAUAAUAAGCCAUCAAUUUUAAAGGAAGGAUUUUACUGUCAUUGAAAUAAAGCAAUAUAAAAUGCUGUACUGAUUUUAGGAUUAUGCGAUUUUUAUUACGGUGCAAUAGCAAGUUCAGCAGAGUUUAUUGGAGAUUUCCGUCAGACCAGGCGUAUUCUCCGUUUUGUUGUUUUCUUUCUUUUUUAGACUCCACGCAAAAAUUUUACCACGAAUGUUAAUUUUUAUUACAGUUCAAAGAUUAUGAAUUGAUUACUUCUGUGAAAUUUCAUUAAAAUGU